AGAUUAUUAUUUUUCCCUAUCUUUCUUGUGAUGGCCAGCAGACUAUGGAUGGAAGUGUUGUGUGCCAAUUCUAGAUCUGAUCCAUAAAAAUUUCCACAUGCAAUCCACUACACCCUUUCCAUUCUUGUCAGCCUUGGAAACCACAUAUUGAAGAUGUUGGAAUCACAAAAUGGAAGGAACCUGCGUCGUUGAAUUGCUACUUAGAUGAGAGCUGCCCGCUAAUCAGAAGCACCUAUUCUGGACUUUAAGAGGUUAAGAAAUGAAUUUAUAUGGUGGCCAGACGAGACUCAACCUUCAAAUGGGAGACUGGAAAAGAUGGCCUUUAAGGAUCGUCCCAACCAGGAGAUUUUCUAAUUCCAUGAUAGUGAAUGAAAUGAUAAUCUUGAACACCAUCGUUGAAAUCUAAUUUCCACCUUGGCAGAAUUGUUCUCACGCCUACAUUCACAAAAUUCUCAAGAGAUACUCAGGCUACCAGUAAAAGGUCCUCACUGUUCAGGCACUAUGGAGAUACAUA
Non-coding RNA from Equus caballus (horse), 514 nucleotides. The record is from RefSeq and is a predicted model, not a curated record. Lineage: Eukaryota; Metazoa; Chordata; Mammalia; Perissodactyla; Equidae.